CGAACCGCCGCACUGCCGCACACCAAAAGUUAAAAGCACAGGAAGAUGAGUGGGAGAGUUGGAAUUUUGGAAAAUGGAACUUGGAACGUGGGGGUGAGAAGAUUCAGAUAAGGGGAGGUGGAGAGCCGUGGGAGAGAUGGGACUGCCUUGAAAGGGAAAGUAAAAUCCGAAUGAAGUGGAAAGUUAAAUGUUAGGGUUAUUUAAUAAAUAGGGUUAAAAAAAUAAAAAAAAAUAAUAAGAAAAGGUUAUUUUGGUGAUUAAAGAAAAAAAAAAAUAGGAGGUGUAGGUUUGAAAUGGGGAGGUGGAGAGAUCAAUGCCUUUUUCCUUAUCAUCUCAAUUUCAAGGCCCAAGUUUCUGUGUUCUCACAAAAAUAUAAAAAAAAAAACACUCUUUGUUUGUCGUUCCUUCCUGUACCUAUUAUUUCCUCUACUUUUAUUGUUGGUUAGAGUUACUUUAAGAAAAAAAAUUAAAUAAUUUUUUUAGAAAAUAUUUACAUCAUUUUCUAUUUUAUAUUUCUCAUCUUUACAUUAUAAUUAAUGUAUAUAUGUAAAUUAAUUGAAAAUUAGGUAAAAGUUA
This 576-nucleotide long non-coding RNA is filed under the name Vigna radiata. Its description in RNAcentral is "long non-coding RNA (VRAD_LNC003183)". Lineage: Eukaryota; Viridiplantae; Streptophyta; Magnoliopsida; Fabales; Fabaceae. The record is from RNAcentral.